GUAGGGUGCGAGCGUUAUCCGGAAUCAUUGGGCGUAAAGAGCUCGUAGGCGGUUCAGCAAGUCGGCUGUGAAAUUCCGAGGCUCAACCUCGGAACUGCAGUCGAUACUGUUGUGACUCGAGUCCGGUAGAGGAGAAUGGAAUUCCCGGUGUAGCGGUGAAAUGCGCAGAUAUCGGGAGGAACACCAGUAGCGAAGGCGGUUCUCUGGGCCGGCACUGACGCUGAGGAGCGAAAGCGUGGGGGUAGCAAACAGGAUUAGAUACCCUGGUAGUCCACGCCGUAAACGUUGGAUACUAGGUGUGGCGUUCCGACCAACGGUCGCCGUGCCGAAGCUAACGCAUUAAGUAUCCCCGCCUGGGAGUACGGCCGCAAGGCUA
Molecule: ribosomal RNA, 376 nt
Filed under: uncultured organism
Description: partial 16S ribosomal RNA
Rfam family: Bacterial small subunit ribosomal RNA
Source: RNAcentral